AACGAACUCUGGUAUUGAUUGGUGCUUGCAUCAUGAUUUACAUUUGAGUGAGUGGCGAACUGGUGAGUAACACGUGGGAAACCUGCCCAGAAGCGGGGGAUAACACCUGGAAACAGAUGCUAAUACCGCAUAACAACUUGGACCGCAUGGUCCGAGUUUGAAAGAUGGCUUCGGCUAUCACUUUUGGAUGGUCCCGCGGCGUAUUAGCUAGAUGGUGAGGUAACGGCUCACCAUGGCAAUGAUACGUAGCCGACCUGAGAGGGUAAUCGGCCACAUUGGGACUGAGACACGGCCCAAACUCCUACGGGAGGCAGCAGUAGGGAAUCUUCCACAAUGGACGAAAGUCUGAUGGAGCAACGCCGCGUGAGUGAAGAAGGGUUUCGGCUCGUAAAACUCUGUUGUUAAAGAAGAACAUAUCUGAGAGUAACUGUUCAGGUAUUGACGGUAUUUAACCAGAAAGCCACGGCUAACUACGUGCCAGCAGCCGCGGUAAUACGUAGGUGGCAAGCGUUGUCCGGAUUUAUUGGGCGUAAAGCGAGCGCAGGCGGUUUUUUAAGUCUGAUGUGAAAGCCUUCGGCUCAACCGAAGAAGUGCAUCGGAAACUGGGAAACUUGAGUGCAGAAGAGGACAGUGGAACUCCAUGUGUAGCGGUGAAAUGCGUAGAUAUAUGGAAGAACACCAGUGGCGAAGGCGGCUGUCUGGUCUGUAACUGACGCUGAGGCUCGAAAGUAUGGGUAGCAAACAGGAUUAGAUACCCUGGUAGUCCAUACCGUAAACGAUGAAUGCUAAGUGUUGGAGGGUUUCCGCCCUUCAGUGCUGCAGCUAACGCAUUAAGCAUUCCGCCUGGGGAGUACGGCCGCAAGGCUGAAACUCAAAGGAAUUGACGGGGGCCCGCACAAGCGGUGGAGCAUGUGGUUUAAUUCGAAGCUACGCGAAGAACCUUACCAGGUCUUGACAUACUAUGCAAAUCUAAGAGAUUAGACGUUCCCUUCGGGGACAUGGAUACAGGUGGUGCAUGGUUGUCGUCAGCUCGUGUCGUGAGAUGUUGGGUUAAGUCCCGCAACGAGCGCAACCCUUAUUAUCAGUUGCCAGCAUUAAGUUGGGCACUCUGGUGAGACUGCCGGUGACAAACCGGAGGAAGGUGGGGAUGACGUCAAAUCAUCAUGCCCCUUAUGACCUGGGCUACACACGUGCUACAAUGGAUGGUACAACGAGUUGCGAACUCGCGAGAGUAAGCUAAUCUCUUAAAGCCAUUCUCAGUUCGGAUUGUAGGCUGCAACUCGCCUACAUGAAGUCGGAAUCGCUAGUAAUCGCGGAUCAGCAUGCCGCGGUGAAUACGUUCCCGGGCCUUGUACACACCGCCCGUCACACCAUGAGAGUUUGUAACACCCAAAGUCGGUGGGGUAACCUUUUAGGAACC
This 1420-nucleotide ribosomal RNA is filed under the name Lactiplantibacillus plantarum. Its description in RNAcentral is "bacterial SSU rRNA". It matches the Rfam family "Bacterial small subunit ribosomal RNA". The record is from RNAcentral. Lineage: Bacteria; Bacillati; Bacillota; Bacilli; Lactobacillales; Lactobacillaceae.